Molecule: long non-coding RNA, 2146 nt
Filed under: Brassica napus (rape)
Lineage: Eukaryota; Viridiplantae; Streptophyta; Magnoliopsida; Brassicales; Brassicaceae
Description: long non-coding RNA (BNAP_LNC010715)
Source: RNAcentral
GGGCGUCCUUGUUAUCCACAUAAUGUGCGAGGGUAUAUUUUUAAGGGUUUACGGUUUACGGUUUACGGUUUAAGGUUCACGGUUUAGUGUUUAGGGUUUACGGUUUACUGUUUACGGUUUACGGUUUAGGGUUUUAGUGUUUAGGGUUUAGGGUUUAGGUAUAUAAUUUUCAGCAUAAAGUUGUAAAAUGAAGGGUAUAGGGUUGUAUGUUGCGGGUUUACGGUUCAGGGUUUAGGGUUUAUAGUUUAGGGUUUAGGGUUUAGGGCUUACUUUUACAUGUCGAGUUUAUGGAACUAGCUGGCCAAUAUAAAUAUCGGUCGAGCUACCAUGAACAUUAUCCUUACAAUAUAUUUAUUAGAUACGAGGGCGGCAAGAGUAUAUGAUUUACGGUUUAGGAUUUAGGGUUUAGGGUUUAGGGAUUAGGGCUUAGGGUUUAGGGUAUAUAAUUUUCAGCAUAAGGUUGUAAAAUGAAUGGUAUAGGGUUAUAUGUUGAGGAUUUACGGUUCAGGGUUUAGGGUUUAUGGUUAACGGUAUUGAGUUUACUUUUACAUGUCGAGCUUAUGGAACUAGCUGGCCAAUAUAAGUAUUGGUCGGACUACAAUAAACAUUAUCCGUAAAAUAUAUUUAUUAGAUAUGAGGGCGUCCAUGUUAGCAACAUAAGGGGCAAGGGUAUAUGAUUUAUUCUUUAUGAUUUAGGAUUUAGGGAUUAGUUGUAGGGUUGAGGGUUUAGGGUUUAAGGUUUAGGGUUUAGGGUUUAGGGUUUAGGGUUUAGGGUUUAGGUAUAUAAUUUUGAGCAUAAGGUGGUAAAAUGAAGGGUAUAGGGUUGUAUGUUCAGGGUUUACGGUUCAUGGUUUAGGAUUUAUGGUUAACGGUAUCGAGUUUACUUUUACAUGUCGAGUUUAUGGAACUACCUGGCCAAUAUAAGUAUUGGUCGAGCUACCAUAAACAUUAUCCGUAAAAUAUUUCUAUUAGAUAUGACGGCGUUCAUGUUAGCAACAUAAGGGGCGAGGGUAUAUGAUUUAUGCUUUAUGAUUUAGGGUUUAGGGAUUACUUGUAGGGUUUAUGGUUUAAGGUUAAGGGUUUAGGCUUUAGGGUUUAGGGUUUAGUGUUUAGGGUUUAGGGUUUGGGUUUAGGGUUUAUGGUUUAGGUAUAUAAUUUGGAACAUAAGGUUGUAAAAUGAAAGGUAUAGGGUUGUAUGUUGAGGGUUUACAGUUCAGAGUUUAGGGUUUAUGGUUAACGGUAUUGGGUUUACUUUUUUACAUGUCGAGUUUAUGGAACUAGCUGGUCAAUAUAAGUAUUGGUCGAGCUACCAUAAACAUUAUCCGUAAACUAUAUUUAUUAGAUAUGAGGGCGUCCAUCUAGCAACACAAGGGGCGAGGGUAUAUGGUUUAUAAUUUAGGGUUUAAGGAUUAGUUGUAGGGUUUAGGGUUUAGGAUUUAGGGUUUAGGUCUUCUGUGACAUGAAAGGAUUCGUGUUAGCACUACAGUUAGUCAUGCUGAGGUGGUUCAAGACGGGAGCUCAUCUGAGGAUGACAAUUUGGAUGAGGAUAACGCCGUGAAGAAAUUUAUCAGCCUUGGACAUGCCCGCAACACCGAUGCUGCAGGAACGUGCGGUGGUGGACAAGGUCGUUAGUGCAUGUAUUAGUGGGGGAGACGAGGGAGGUGGUGUUGCUGGAAGUGACGACAUUCAACCUAAGACCGAGGAGUUUGGUCUCGGUUGUAGGAAGAGUAAACGGCAGAAAAAAACCCCAAGUCUCUACUAGGAAAUUAUGAAUGUGACAAAUGGUUUCUCAGUCAAACAACCCAAGAAAUAGCAUUGACUACUCAACUAUGUUCUCCAUUCUCCUUGACAAAAUGAAAACACCAUUGUAAGUUUCAAAAAUAGCUAAAUAUCUUUCUCAAAAUGUUAUUUCUUGUGUAACUUUGGUAGUAGCCGGCUAAGUUGUAUAUGUUAAUUAUCUUUAUCUAAAUGAUAUUACUUGUGUAACUUUGGUAGUAGCCGGCGAAGUUGUAUAUGUUAAUUAUCUGGAACAGCUCCAUUGUUACGGGGUGAGGCAAAUCUUUUGGGGUUGAUUCGUAUUUGGUUUGCGCCGUUUGAGUCAGAAAUUAUGUGAACGAGAAGUUAUCACUAAUACCACUGUUUAAGU